CCUACAGAUCUGGUACCUGGAUUUUUGCCCAUGGUGAUGGAUUCUGCCACCUCAGUGCUGAAGAAGACAUCAUUCCAGUGGACCACUGUGAUCUAGGAGGCGUAUCCAGCGAAUCAUGAUGUGGCCUUCACCUCCACUCCUGUCCUGUUCUACCCAGAUUCAACACAGCCUUUUGUAGUGAAGUUCAACUUCUCAAGCCAAAUAGCUGAAGCUGUUUUAUCACAACAAAGGUUCAGCUUGUUCCAUAAGUGUGCAUUUCAUUUCUCCAGUUAAAGCUUUCAGAGACACAUAAUAAAUUUGGACCAGGGGAUUUUUAGUUAUCAGCACUGUCUGAAGAAUGGCAGCAUCUUUUUGAGAACCAUAUCGGACCACACCCCACUGUCUCAAAUGAUUGAAAUUCAGGAAUUGUCUAAUCUGGACCCCAUUCUUUUUCCAUUUCAAAUCUGUAGUAGCCUACUGAAUGAGCAAGCAGAUAUUCUGACCCGUUGGGAUCAAAACAAAGGCACAGUGAACUCACAGCAUCUUCUUUGGGAUUACUCAGGAACCAGAACUUUUCACACAAAUGUAAGAAAUUCUACCAAGGAAUCCCUUUACCUAACAGCAUCUCAUAAAGCUCCAAUCAGAUUCCAGAAAAGGCCUCUUGAUACAUCCAGCAUUUUGUGAACCAACUUACUCUUAGAUCAUUGGUUUUCCAAAGGCUUUGUGGCCAUGAAGCACUUUGAAUGAAAACUUUAUGGAAGCCCAGAGUAAAAGUGAAGCUGCUCUGGAGGAAGCAGAAGUGGGGGGCCUGAAACCUGCCACAAGCAUCUUACUUUACCAUCAUGGUGACACCUAAGGAGACUUCCUUACAACAACUAGAAAUCUUCAGAACACAGUUUGGAAACCACUGCCCUAGACAACAGUACGACCUGAAUGGCAUUCUGUUCUGUACCUCUACCCAACACGUCGGUGUUCAGUUGAUAAUGAGCAUUCUUAGGAAUACUCAGAGAGUGCAAGAAGAUGGACAUAUCUUUGCCCCCAAGAUUAGUCAUAUGGGCUGAAGGUAAUAUCAAAGAGACCUAGAAUAAUAGCCCUCUAACCACAAAUAGACUUCCAGUGAUUCCUGAAUGAUACAGCCACAGAGCAAUUUGUACGUUACACUGACAAACCCCCUUAUUCAACUUCUUCCACAAACACCGGAUGCUCUAGUGGCACUUAAGAUGCAUGACUUUGAAGUCUUGAUCCUCCUUGAAUACAGUGAACACCAAGUAUUGAAGCUGAUGUUAAAGUCGAUGCCUCAUUGAGGCAGUAUUAGACCAGUUGUACAUUGGACCUCCCAUUCUCAGCUAUGGUACUCUACUUCGUGUGCAAGGGAUAACCAUAAACUGUGAAAGCAGAAUUCAGAGACUGGCAACAUUACCGAAAAGGGCACCUGAUGAUGAUUCUUCUUCUCAAACUACGUCACUAUCACUCAGCCGUUGGCAGUUACACUACUGCUUGGUUUUUAUUCCGUUUAACUGCUGUUUCCAGAAUAAAGAAGCAAAUAACCUCUGAAAAACUGCUAAA
This 1545-nucleotide long non-coding RNA is filed under the name Bos mutus (wild yak). Its description in RNAcentral is "lncRNA (ENSBMUG00000024330.1)". The stretch from base 487 to 668 matches the Rfam family "Taurine upregulated gene 1 conserved region 4". Lineage: Eukaryota; Metazoa; Chordata; Mammalia; Artiodactyla; Bovidae. The record is from RNAcentral.